AAAAUGAUGGCAGUAAGCAAGAUGUCAAAGACUUUGAACCAAGGUCCAACAUUUCAGCUUAUGGAGACAAUGACAUUGAUGUAAAAGAAAAGAAUGGAGCCAUUAAAGAUUUUGAACCUAGACCUAAUAUUUCAGCUUAUGGAGAAAAUGUCAUUGAUGCUGAUGAAAAGAAGAAACCAGUCAAAGAUUUUGAACCAAGACCCAAUAUUUCAGCUUAUGGAGACAAUGACAUUGAUGUUAAGGAAAAUAAGGGAGCCACCAACGAUUUUGAGCCAAGACCCAACAUUUCAGCUUAUGGAGACAAUGUCAUUGAUGAUAAUAAAAUGAAGAAACCAGUUGAAUAUUUCCAACCAAGACCAAACAUUUCAGCUUAUGGAGAAAAUGACAUUGAUGUUAAAAAAAGUAAAGAUUUUGAACCAAGACCCAACAUUUCAGCUUUUGGAGACAAUGACAUUGAUGUUAAUGAAAAGAAGGGAGAUACUAAAGAUUUCGAACCAAGACCAAAUAUUUCAGCUUAUGGAGACAAUGCCAUUGAUGAUGAUGAAAUGAAGAAACCAAUUAAAGAUUUUAAACCAAAACCAAACAUUUCGGCUUAUGGAGACAAUGUCAUUGAUGCUGAUGAAAUGAAGAAACCAGUCGAAGGUUUUGAACCAAGACCAAACAUUUCAACUUAUGGAGACAAUGUCAUUGAUGUUGAUGAAAUGAAGAAACAACAAGUCAAAGAUUUUGAACCAAGAACCAACAUUUCAGCUUAUGGAGACAAUGACAUUGAUGUUAAAGAAAAGAAGGGAGUCACCAACGAUUUUGAGCCAAGACCCAACAUUUCAGCUUAUGGAGACAAUGUCAUUGAUGCUAAUAAAAUGAAGAAACCAGUUGACGAUUUCCAACCAAGACCAACUAUUUCAGCUUAUGGAGACAAUGCCAUUGAUAAUAGUAAAACGAAUGAAGUCAUCAAAGAUUUUGAAUCAAGACCCAACAUUUCAGCUUACGGUAACAAUGAAGUUGACACUAAGAAAAAAGAAAAAGCUGCCAAAGAUUUUGAACAAAGACCCAUUAUUUCAGCUUAGGAAGACAACAUCAUUGAUGCUGAGAAAGAUGACGAGUUCACAAAGGAUUUUGAACGCAUGCCAAGAGUCACUAAAUAUGAUGCAUAACUUUAAUAAUUAAAAUAAAAUGCUAUUUCAAUUUCUGAUGUAAUACACUUAAUAAGUCAUUGCUACUUUAUGUUCAAUGAUAUUUAGUAUAUGUAUUAUGCAUUAAGCUUUUUGAAUGAAGGAACUUCUCCUUGUUUACUGAUGACAGUCAGUCAUUCACUAUUUUUAGAGUCUUUUUAUGAUAUUUUUGAGUUCACAAGCAAUCUUAAGCAACAAGAAAAGAAAGAAAAGUAAGAAAAAACUGAAGAAACUGAAAAGUGGGCAUCGUGUCACGAUUACUAAAAAGCGUGUCACGAUUUGGAACAUAGGAUGAGUUCAUUCAAGAUUGGUUAAAACGUGUCACGAUGGCUAUUUCGUGACACGAUUUUAAGAACAUGUGGCAAGAGAAAAUAUGAUCAAAAAGAGCAAAACAGGAGGUGUCAAGAAGUAAUGGAAUUAAGAAUUCCUAUUAAUUAAUGGGCUAUGUUGAUCCAAGAGGAGAAAAACGUGAUUAAUUGGAAAGGCAGCUGGGUUAGAUGAACCUAUAUAAAGAAGCAACAAGAGAGCUGCAAAUUAUCUUUCAAAAAAAAAAGAGAGAGCUGCAAAUUAUUCAAGAUGGUGACAUCACGGUUACGGCAAGAAUCACGUUUGGCACUUGUUGGAGAAGAAAAACGGGAACAAGCAUAUCACUAAGGAAGCAACAACGGCAAUUGAAAGAAAAUUGAGGAGCACUGUCGACAACGACUAAACUUUAUUGGUUUAAUUUCUUCUUUAUGUUGUUUGCUUAUUUGAUUAUGUCUAGCUAAACAUGGUUAGUCUAGGAAUGUAUAAUCCUUUACUAGUGAUAUUAGGUUAACGUGCUUAAAACCUUCAAAGAAUAUUAGCUCACCUAAGGAAUUAGGGACUGUAAUAUGAGAAGAGGGUCCUAACUCAAGGGAUGAAUUAUGACUAUUUUGUUAACUAUCGUGGAACUAGAAAAUCAUUCAUAAGAAUAGGUGCAGUAUACCCAUUUGGGGAACAUUGAUGACUCGAAAGACCUAGUCUCAUCUCUCCAUAUAUAGUUUCCAAAACUAUCUUUAUUUUCUGUUUAUUUAAUUUUAUGCAAUCAAAUCAAAUCUACAAACAAAAUAAUUUUUACAUCCUAAAUAUUUACUUUAUUGCUAAAUUGAGAUUAAUACAUUCUUCGUAGAUACGAACUUAUUUUAUUACUUCGAUGCAUGUUUAAUACACUUGCUAAAAGUCUAUCAUUUACCAAGAAUAGGAUAUAGUCUUGGUGAUUACAAGAAUGUUUCUUCGACAUUAAUAACUUCCUUGGCAGAUGUUAAAAUAUGGCGAUAUUUCCUUUAGAUCAAUCGAUCCUUCUUUUUGAAAUUAACCUGCACCGGCCCUUGUAUGUGUUUCAUGCUUCAUGUGCUUGAGCAUAUCACUCUAGUGUUUCCAGUUCCCACCAUUAAUGUCUAUCUUGUUUCCUAUUAUAUAACAACUACAAAAGAAAAAUUAUCUACAUCUAAAGGACUUUGCAUGUCAAGAAGAUACUCAAUCAUACACAAAAUUGUUAACGAAGUUUGAACAAUUUAAAAGAAAAUGUAACAAAAACGAAAAUGAAUUGAGGAAAACAUCUAGCUCGUAGGCCCACAGUUUUAAUUGCAUAUGUAUGUUACCCACGACGUAAACUUCUAUGGCUGAAGGAGUAUUUUUUUUACCAGAACUAUGGCUAAAGGUUAACGUGGGUAUGUGGCAAUUUUCUAGCAGAGCUUGUAUUAUUGCAUUAUCGUAGAACUACUAAUUUUUACUCCAAACACUCGGACAUUUUAUUGACGAGAAUUAAAAUUAGAGGUGGGAAGUUCCCGCGAGAAUGCAUAGUUUAGCUGGCAGGGACAAUACAUUAUUAUUAUAUAUAGAGAUUGAGGUUUGAAUCCCGAACACUCCACUUAUUCAUCUUAAAAAUGAAUUCUAACCAACUACAUCAAAACAACUCAAAUGACAAAGAAUGCAAGCCGUUUGCUAAUAAGUCUUAAAAUUUAUCUUUUUUUUUAAGUAAGUCUUAAAAUUUGAGCUACAACCAUUGAAAAUAAUUUAUAGCUAACAUUACUAUAUAGCGAUGAGGCUAAAUCGUUUCACUUUGAAACGAGCUUCAGCCUUAAGAUGAGAGCGGUUAGGGUUAUGUUUAUGUCAUUGAUCUUUUCCAGAUUUGAGAAACACCCCCGAGCCAAAUUUCAAGUAGGAAAAUCCAAAGUGUUAAAGUUGCUUUUGAAUAAAAUAGAUGAAAUCAUUUGGGCAUGGAGACUUAUAAAUUACCCAUAGUUCAACAAAAGCAACCUGAACCUCAAUGAGGUUACCUCAUUAUCCGUCACCGAUCAUCAACAUAGUUCUAUCAUGCUGAAUAUGCUAAGAUAAUUAUUAUUGGUCCCUUAGUAAAUGGAAACAAACUUUUUUUAAUCACCCUCUUCAUAAAUCUAAGAAUCCUUGGCUCUGUUCGGUAAAAAUAAGCUAUAAGCUAGCUGAUAGCUGAUAAGUUAGCUGAUAGCUGAUGAGUGAUAACUGAUAGCUGAUAGCUGAAAAGCUUGCUUAAUAAAAAUAAUGUGUUUGGUAAAAUUAGUUGUUGAAGUGGCUGAUAAAUAUAAAAUGACAUUUUUUUUUUUAAUAUACAUAUAAACACACAUUUUUUUGUAAUGUAUUUAUUUUUUAAUAUUUUUAAUUAUAGUUAAAUAUGUUUUUGGUCCCUAUAAAUAUUCAAAUUUUUGGUCUUAGUCUCCAUAAAAAAAUUCUUCGACCUUUAGUCCUAAAAAAAAAAUCACUGACAAUUUUGAUCUCUGCUUUAUGUAUCCCAAAAUUAAGAGAAAGGUGGAAACAAAAAGUGAGUUAGAAUAUAUAAAAUUUUACAACGUACAAAAGACUAGUUAUUUUUUCCUUUAAAAAAAAUAGGCUAGUUAUUUUUUUUGUGGUGUACGGCAGGUUAGUUAUAGCAAAAUAUAAAGCAUUUCCUUAAAAUAUAUAUAUAUAUAUAUAUAUAUAUAUAUAUAUAUAUAUAUAUAUAUAUAUAUAAAGUGCUCCUUAAAAAAAAAACUAUGUUGCAUUUUUUUUAAGGGAAAAAAUGGGGCGGUUAUAAAGAUGAACAUGAGUAGUUGUUUAAUUAAAAAAAUAAUUAAUUUAAAUUAAUAGGGUUAAAGUUGGAAGAAAAUAUAAAAAGCUACCAGCUAUAAGCUAAAAAGCUACUUGAAAUAGCUUUUCAAAAAACGCUAUAAGCUCAUGAAAAAAGCUUGUUACCAAACACGUCACGUUUUCAUCUAACGAGCUUAUAAGAUAAUCCAACAAACUAUAAGUUAACUUUUUUGUGUUACCAAACAUAACCCUUCUGUUUUUGGAGAGUAACAAUCCUAUUGUAACGUUUUUACUUGAGCGUUAAGAGAUGGAAGAACAGGGUAUUCAGAUCACCUUGGUUCCCCCUAACUUAUAGCGACACUGUCGGUAUCAGUAGUUGUCAUCAAAUUUGAUAAGCCAAGCCACCUUUAAUCCGCUCAAGUUAUUAAUCAUUCAAAGGCAUUUUCGGAAUUAAUCUUAAGCAGUUCAAGUUAGAAAUGAUUUGUUUAUUUAUGCGUUGGAGUCUAACAUGUCAAAUAUUAAAAUCACAACAUAUAAAUAAAAGCAUAAAUUUUAUUCUUAUCAAUGUUUAAUUUAAAUAUGUCUUCAAUGGCGUACCCUUCUCCCACAAAGACGCAUUUUUAGUAAUGAUGUUGAAAUCAACUUCUAUAGAUUGAGUAAACUCUGCAUUAUUUAAAAGAAAAUUUGAAACAAGAUUUUUUCAAAUUUAUGGAGUGUGCAUCACAUCCUCCUUCAGUAUUAGAGUCUUUCUGGAGAUGAACUUCAUCAUAUUAGUUUAAGUAACACAUGGAUCAAAUAAUCUUGAAACUUAAGUUGGAGUGCGCAAGCGGAUAAGGCUGGUUUUUUGUUUUGUUGCUUAAUAGCAGUUUUAGUCCCCUAACUUUUCUAAAGUUACGAUUUUGAUCCCUUAAGAAAAAGAACUACAAAACUGUCCCCUAAGUUUUGCAUAUGUGGCAGUUUUGACCCCCAAGGUCAAUUUUGACUCGGUCUACGCUCACGUGGCACCUUAAGUGAGGCGCCGCGUGUUAUUUUUCUUUACCAAAAAGUGCUAUUGGGGGGCCAAAACUGCCAGAGUUGCAAAACUUAGGGGCCGGUUUUGUAGUUUUUUUUUCUUAGGGGGCCAAUAUCGCAAAUUCGUGAAAGUUAGGGAGCGAAACUGCUAUUAAGCCUUUCUUUUAAUUGUUAGUUGGAUAAGAUUUAAACGAAACUUGUUCGUUAAGAAAAGCACUACCGGAUAAUGAUAAAAUUUAUUAAUUUAACAUUUUCGAAUGAUAAAAAAAACUUUGGCCUAAGCCCAACCCUAUGGCGUCACCGCAUAUGUGAUAUAUAUUUUCUUGAGCACUCUCGGUUCACAAAAAUGAGUAUCCAAGGCACACUCGUGAGAGUGAUUCUCCUUUUUUACUCAAAAAAAAAAAAAGAAAGAAAGAGUGAUUCUCCUUUUAAACAAACAUUAUUAAUGUGUUUCUUCUUAAAAAUUAAAAGUAAUGCACACAUUUCAAUACUUCCUCCGUCCUAAAUUAUAAGCAAAAAAAAAAAAAAUCACAUUUAUUAAGAAAACUAAAACAUAAGAAUUUGAAGUAUAAUUUUUUGUGUUUUCUUUAAAAAAAAAUUAUAGGAAGAUGUAAAAACAAUUUUCGUUGGCUAUUGGUUAUGGAAAAAGUGAAAGAGAGAGAAAAUUGAAUGUAAUUUGCGUUUAAUUUUAUGAGAAUAAACAAAAGUUUUUCUUGGGAAAAAGAUUUAAAAAAAAAGAUUAAAUAAGAUAAAAAUUUAUCUUUUUUGCUUAUAUUUUAGGACAAAGAAAAUGAGUUUUUUUGCUUAUAUUAUGAGACGGGGGGAAUAUAUGACACUUUUACCGUUUUCAAUUCACACCAUGCUAAUCCUAUCAAAUGUGAGACUUGUGUUUAUUUCAAUCUUCAUUCGUGAUUAAAUAGAAACUAACCAAUUAGAAUAUUGACAUUAGUAAGUACUCUAUGAAUACAAUAUUUAAAAGGAUACUGUUAACUUGUGCCCAUAGAGUAUAUGUUAAUAAACUUAAAAGAAGAAACUUUCUCUAAAAUUUUAUACAUUCAAUUAAUUAAAAAUUAAAAGUAAUGCACACAUUACAAUAAACUAUUUUUAUAUUUAAUUUUCCUAUUUAAAAAAGAUGCAAGAUGCACGUGAUAAGCACCAGACAAGUAUCAAUUUCAAAUCUCAAUAAUAAUCAAAGUGGAGGUGGUUUUCCUUAAAAAAAAAAAAAAAAGUAAGAGGAGGUGGUUGAAGCAAAAUUAACCCGGAUUUGCCCAGCUGUCAUUCCUAGGACGCACCUACAAUCUUAAAACCAAAAUGCUGGUCUAAUAUUAAGCAGUUAUAUUUAAAUGUUUUAAUUUUUUUACACUCAUUCAACACUUAAUUUUCAGAAUUUUUUUAUUUUUAUCUAAAAAAUUGUUUUUUGUUUAUAAGAGGGAAGAGAAAUAUAUAUUUUAAGAUAAAAGAAGAGGUAAAAGAAAAGUGUAAUUUCCUCAAAUUCUUAAUAUUAAUUUAAUAUUAAUAAUAGACACACGUGGUCACGUGCUAUCUACCAUGAUUGCUGAUUUUUUAUUUUUUUUUAGAGGAUGAUUGCUGAUCUUCUAGCUAUAAAUAGGUGAUUUAUUAGUUAUAGGAAUCAUCCACUUCCAUCGAAAUAUAAAAUCAGUGGCUUUUAAUAUCAAAGAUGAGACCUGCUCUUGCUUUAUUUCCCCUCUUGCUUUUCUUGGUAUGUUUUACUUUUCGUGGUUUCAAUUAGUAGAGUGCACUCUAAAUUCUAAUGCUUCAAAAUAAAAAAAACCUCUGAUAUUUUACAUUUAAUUGAACAAUUAUUUUCUUGUUGGAAAGUUUUUGUCUUUUCUUCCGGAUACUGAAAGUUAAUCGAUUAGUACUUCUUAGAGUAAUUUUAUGGAAAAUAUAAGUUAUUUCGUGUUUAUUUAUAUCCAUAAAAUCAUUUUUAAAUCUUCUUUAUCAUUUAUGAUUUCGUUAUAAUCACUGACGUCAAAAUUAUUGUCUGCCUUUCUGCUAUCGUAUUGCACUCAAUUGUUUGUUUAUUUCAUCUUAUUUUGUUAUUAAAUUUCAAUAAUAUAUCCCAAUCAGAUAAAGAUUUUAGGUUUAUUGAUGUGUUUAGCCCUUGCAAUUAGGCGGCAUUUAAAAAUUCGUCCCUGUAAUUGUUAAUCCUGGCAUUUUAACCCUGCAAUUGUUAAUCAUUUAAAAUUUCGUCCCUCUCCCCACUUAAUCACUGCCACGCCACAUGAAAUUCCAAAUUUACCCCUGGGUUUCCAAUUCUUUCUUCAAUAUUUUGUCCUCUUCUUAAGGGCAAAAUUGAAAUUUCAUGUGUGACAGUGAUUGCCACGUCAUCAAAUUAGUGACGUGGCAGUGAUUAAUUUGGUCCAAGGACCAAAUUUUAAACGAUUAACAAUUGCAGGGUUAAAAUGCCAGGAUUACCAAUUACAGGGACGAAUUUUUAAAUGCCGCCUAAUUGCAAGGGCUAAACACAUCAAUAAACCAAGAUUUUAUUCAUAUUGCAGUGGAAUUGCUUAUAUUAAAAUGAGAUGAGAUUUAGUUGAUUUUUUAAUUAAAAAUUUAAAUAGUAUUAUUCAAUACAAAAGAUAAACUUGUAAUUAAAAUAGUUUAACCGAAUGGUAUAAUUAGAAGAUAAAAACUCAGUCCAAAAUCUUGUACCCCCUUCACAUAGAGGUAUAGAUAGGUAUAUAUACCACAAUUAAAUAAAGAUUCAACGUGUCAUGUUUCUAUUAUAGUGAAAUUGUUCAUAUUAUACCGAGAUUUAACCAACUUUUCUAAUUAAAGGUUUAAAUAAUAUUUAAAAAAAAGUAAAAUUGUAAUAAGAAUAGUUAAUGAAGGGCACAACUGAAUGAUAAAAAGUCAUCCUAAAAUCAUAUUUCUUCUUUAUAUAUAUAUAUAUAUAUAUAUAUAUAUAUAUAUAUAUAUAUAUAUAUAUAUAUAUAUAUUGUACAACAGAAACUUGUGUUUAAAAUAAUUUUCAUUAUAAUAAGAUUUUACAUUUUUUUAAAUGUAAUUUAUUUCUUUGCUAAAAAAGUUAUUUAUUUCUCAUUAUUAACAAACUGCCAAGAUUGUGUGACACAAAUAAUAAAUAUUUUGGUCCCUUGACCAUUAGGUCCAUUGCACGGAAGAUGCCUUUUUUGAUUUACCAAAAAAUGAUUAGCAAGCUCGUUGGAAAUCCUUAAAUAUAAUUAUUUUAUAAAAAAAUCUCAAAUUAAAAAGUUCUUAUUUGAGCUAAUUAGCCAUACUUAUACGACUCACAUUGGUUAUUCACUUGAGUGAGUGUUUUUUUUCUGCAAAACAUUCAAGUGAGUGUUGGGGACCUGACCAAUAGCAAAAUAAAAAUAAAAAAACACAUAAAUAUUAUAUAAAUAUGACAUUGAUUAAUGUAAUCUUAUAAUUGAUAUUUACUAAUUCUAUUUAAAAGUUUAUUAUGUUCCAUUUAUUUCUCUUAAAAUCGCAAGCUCUCCCCCAAAAAACAUCUCCUCCACUUAAGAUCAAUCCACCUAAAUUUCUCUCCGAGAGUCAUUUUAAUCACUUUUACUUCUUAUUGAAUAGAAACCUAAAACAUCAUGAGAAAACAAAUUCUUAAAAGAAUAUCUCAAUUAAUGAUUAUUUUAAAAAUAUGUAGAUCAACCAUCUCUAAUAUUCUUGAAGUUAUUAUCGGAUAAAGAACAAUAGAUUCUGGUUGACAUGUUCCCGAUAAGAAGAUCUACUCUCAUCAGUUUGAGAAAAUGGGGCAUUCUUAAGGAACAUAAAACAAUUAUCAAUGAUUUUCCAAAUUUUAGGAUCAAUUUAUUAGGAUACAAGUUAAUAUGGUGGCUUUGCUGCUUAGAAAAGGCUUCCACAUUUUAUCUCAACUCCAACACUGCUUACGAUGUUCAAUAUGAUCUCCCUAUCCUUAAAAAAAAGAAUAUAAUAAAUAAUUAUGAGUGUUUUUUCCUUUUCGGUUAGGGAAUAAAUUUCUCUUUUAAACGAUUCUAUAUUAAAAAAGAGAGCUAUACAACUGCACAUAUAGACCAUUAUUUUUUCAUAUAUCUUAUUAAUUUCUUAUUUUGCGAUAAAGUUUGUAGCAAUUGUAGAAACAAGAAAAGAUUUGGGACAAUAUCGAAAACUAGUCAUGAAAGAUGAAGACAUGCGAAAAGAAAUUCAAGGGCUUCUUUACACCGAGACGAAAAAGAAUCUCAAGACUCCAAAGCAGUGUUUCAAAGGUUUUAAACAUGAUUGUGAAGAGCCAUUUGUAAUAGACACACAAGUCACCAUAGAAAAUGACAUCAUCCGUGCUAAGAGAAAGAAGGGAGUCACUAAAAAUUUUGAACCAAGACCAAAUGUUUCAAAAUAUGAAGAUAAUGACAUUAAUGCUGAGGAAAAGAAGAGAGUCGUCAAAGACUUUGAACCAAGACCUAAUGUUUCAGCUUAUGGAGCAAAUGAAAUUGAUGCUAAGGAUAAGAAGGGAGUUAUUGAUGAUUUUGAACCAAGACCCAAUGUUUCAGCUUAUGGAGACAAUGACGUUGAAGCUAAGAAAAAGAAGGGAAUCACUGAAGAUUUUGAACCAAGAUACAAUGUUUCAGCAUAUGGAGACAAUGGUGUAGAAGUUAAGGGAAAGAAGAAAGUCGUUAAAGAUUUCAAACCAAGACCAAAUGUUUCAGCUUAUGGAGACAAUGGUAUUGAUGUUAAGGAAAAUAAAGGAGCCAAUACGGAUUUUGAACCAAGACCAAAUUACGUUUCAGCAUAUGGAGACAAUAAUAUUGAUGUUACAGAAAAUAAAGGAGCCAAUAAAGAUUUUGAACCAAGAC
Molecule: long non-coding RNA, 10057 nt
Filed under: Medicago truncatula (barrel medic)
Lineage: Eukaryota; Viridiplantae; Streptophyta; Magnoliopsida; Fabales; Fabaceae
Description: long non-coding RNA (MTRU_LNC001332)
Source: RNAcentral